This 74-nucleotide transfer RNA is filed under the name Candidatus Shapirobacteria bacterium RBG_13_44_7. Its description in RNAcentral is "tRNA-Cys". It matches the Rfam family "tRNA". Rfam says of the family: Transfer RNA (tRNA) molecules are approximately 80 nucleotides in length. Lineage: Bacteria; Candidatus Shapironibacteriota. The record is from RNAcentral.
GACCCGGUAGUAAAGCGGUUAUACAGCGGUCUGCAAAACCGUUCAGGCGGGUUCGACUCCCGCCCGGGUCUCCA